This 676-nucleotide long non-coding RNA is filed under the name Heterocephalus glaber (naked mole-rat). Its description in RNAcentral is "lncRNA (ENSHGLG00100033625.1)". Lineage: Eukaryota; Metazoa; Chordata; Mammalia; Rodentia; Bathyergidae. The record is from RNAcentral.
GGCCCUUGAUAAAGACGAGGUGCCCUGCCGCUCUUCCUCCCUCCGUAGUGCAGCCCCCUGCUGCCGCCAGGGCGCCCUUUGGACCCCACCAGCGCCCCCUGAGCCUCGCCGGGACCUGGUCAGAGGGUCCGAUCCGUAGACGAAGGGCGUCGAGUCGGCGCUAGGCUGUCCGCCUCUCCGCUUUCCUGGUCCUCUGGUCUCCUCUGGUCGGCGGCGAUGCUCCUCCCAGCGGGAUCAGGGCCUGUGCUUUGGGAGUUCACAAGAGCUUAGGAGAUGCACUACCUUCCCCUUAUCGGUGACAAGGGGUCGGAGCUGGAGCCACCCUUCCUUGGCUGCAUCACUGAAAACCUCCGGGGAAGAGCCCUUCCUGGACCCGGAGUCUUCUGAUGACUUCUGGCUGUCAACGAUCUAAGAAAAGGCCAAGCAAAAGUCAAUGUUUUACUAAGUUACCUGAGAGAAUUUAACAAUUAAAAAAAGCUACAAAUACUACAGUAUGCUCCUCUUCCUUCUCUCAUGACUUCACAUUUUAGUAGGAAAUAAGCAAUUUUAAAAGAGAGACAAGAAAAUGAUGAAUUUGUGAUUUGUGCCAUUUGGAGAAUGAAAAUAAAUGCAAUAAUGAGCAAGUGAGUAGCAACUAUAAAUCGAUGAGGCAAAGCCUCUGAGAAAUAACACCAGG